Small nuclear RNA from Panthera pardus (leopard), 119 nucleotides. Its record names the gene U4. It matches the Rfam family "U4 spliceosomal RNA". Rfam says of the family: U4 small nuclear RNA (U4 snRNA) is a component of the major U2-dependent spliceosome. The structure of U4 snRNA from yeast and human has been reported. NCBI's taxonomy places the organism in Eukaryota, Metazoa, Chordata, Mammalia, Carnivora, Felidae. The record is from Ensembl.
AGCUUUGCGCAGUGGCAGUAUCGUAGCCAAUGACGUUUAUCCGAGGUGCAAUUAUUGCUAUAAUCUGGCCCUAGUCUACCUGUUUAUAAUAUUUUUUCAACUUUCAUUCAUUCAUUGAU